AUACGUAGGGGGCGAGCGUUGUCCGGAAUGAUUGGGCGUAAAGGGCGCGUAGGCGGCCCGGUAAGUCUGGAGUGAAAGUCCUGUUUUUAAGAUGGGAAUUGCUUUGGAUACUGUCGGGCUUGAGUGCAGGAGAGGUAAGUGGAAUUCCCAGUGUAGCGGUGAAAUGCGUAGAGAUUGGGAGGAACACCAGUGGCGAAGGCGACUUACUGGACUGUAACUGACGCUGAGGCGCGAAAGUGUGGGGAGCAAACAGGAUUAGAUACCCUGGUAGUCCACACUGUAAACGAUGAAUGCUAGGUGUAGGGGGUAUCGACCCCUUCUGUGCCGCAGUCAACACAAUAAGCAUUCCGCCUGGGGAGUACGGCCGCAAGGUUGAAACUCAAAUGAAUUGGCAGGG
This 397-nucleotide ribosomal RNA is filed under the name uncultured bacterium. RNAcentral's name for it is "partial 16S ribosomal RNA". It matches the Rfam family "Bacterial small subunit ribosomal RNA", at positions 523 to 918 of the family's 1533-position model. The record is from RNAcentral.